GGCUGGGGCUGGACCUGACAGUCACAUGACAUCUCAGUUGUACAAGACACUGGUAGCCAGGGAGUUUGCCCCCCAAAGCCGAACAUCUUCCUACGCCACUGGUUACCAGAUGUUACAGGAAAAAUACUGAAAUCUGAUGUUGAUGGGCGACGAAGUACAAGUCCGUAGCGCCGAUGUCGUCGUCAAUGGCUUGUCCGUUGGUCCUCAAUCUACGUUGCCAACAUCUCCAACAAACUACACUAACAGUCGCACCUGCUGACGUCACGACUACACGCGCCUCACAACUGUGACCACAGUGACACACCUUGUAUUACAUUUACAUUGUAAACAUGUCAUUAUCAGCAGUCAGUUGUAACUCUAAAACAAACAUGACCGUCAGAUCGCAUUAUUGUUUUUACAGGAAUUUGUUGACAUAAACGUUUCGUCCGAACCUUGUAGAAAUUCGUUAGAU
Molecule: long non-coding RNA, 451 nt
Organism: Pomacea canaliculata
Lineage: Eukaryota; Metazoa; Mollusca; Gastropoda; Architaenioglossa; Ampullariidae
Exons: 2
Source: RefSeq, a predicted model, not a curated record